UGGGGAAUUUUCCGCAAUGGGCGAAAGCCUGACGGAGCAACGCCGCGUGAGGGAGGAAGGUUCUUGGAUUGUAAACCUCUUUUAUUAGGGAAGAAAAAAAUGACGGUACCUAAUGAAUAAGCAUCGGCUAACUCCGUGCCAGCAGCCGCGGUAAUACGGAGGAUGCAAGCGUUAUCCGGAAUUAUUGGGCGUAAAGCGUCCGCAGGUGGUUUUUCAAGUCUGCUGUUAAAGAGUGCAGCUUAACUGCAUCAAAGCAGUGGAAACUGGGAGACUAGAGUUCGGUAGGGGUAGCGGGAAUUCCCAGUGUAGCGGUGAAAUGCGUAGAGAUUGGGAAGAACAUCGGUGGCGAAAGCGCGCUACUGGGCCGAAACUGACACUCAGGGACGAAAGCUAGGGGAGC
Molecule: ribosomal RNA, 400 nt
Filed under: uncultured bacterium
Lineage: Bacteria
Description: bacterial SSU rRNA
Rfam family: Bacterial small subunit ribosomal RNA
Source: RNAcentral